This 492-nucleotide ribosomal RNA is filed under the name uncultured bacterium. RNAcentral describes it as "partial 16S ribosomal RNA". It matches the Rfam family "Bacterial small subunit ribosomal RNA", at positions 29 to 507 of the family's 1533-position model. The record is from RNAcentral.
AGUGAACGCUGGCGGUAGGCCUAACACAUGCAAGUCGAACGGCAGCACAGUAAGAGCUUGCUCUUACGGGUGGCGAGUGGCGGACGGGUGAGGAAUACAUCGGAAUCUACUUUUUCGUGGGGGAUAACGUAGGGAAACUUACGCUAAUACCGCAUACGACCUACGGGUGAAAGCAGGGGAUCUUCGGACCCUGCGCGAUUGAAUGAGCCGAUGUCGGAUUAGCUAGUUGGCGGGGUAAAGGCCCACCAAGGCGACGAUCCGUAGCUGGUCUGAGAGGAUGAUCAGCCACACUGGAACUGAGACACGGUCCAGACUCCUACGGGAGGCAGCAGUGGGGAAUAUUGGACAAUGGGCGCAAGCCUGAUCCAGCCAUACCGCGUGGGUGAAGAAGGCCUUCGGGUUGUAAAGCCCUGUUGUCGGGAAAGAAAAGCAGCAGGUUAAUACCCCGCUGUUCUGACGGUACCCAAAGAAUAAGCACCGGCUAACUUCGUG